Molecule: ribosomal RNA, 507 nt
Filed under: Salmonella enterica subsp. diarizonae
Lineage: Bacteria; Pseudomonadati; Pseudomonadota; Gammaproteobacteria; Enterobacterales; Enterobacteriaceae
Description: partial 23S ribosomal RNA
Rfam family: Bacterial large subunit ribosomal RNA
Source: RNAcentral
ACAAAAGCGCAUAUGCUGUGAGCUCGAUGAGUAGGGCGGGACACGUGGUAUCCUGUCUGAAUAUGGGGGGACCAUCCUCCAAGGCUAAAUACUCCUGACUGACCGAUAGUGAACCAGUACCGUGAGGGAAAGGCGAAAAGAACCCCGGCGAGGGGAGUGAAACAGAACCUGAAACCGUGUACGUACAAGCAGUGGGAGCCUCUCUUUAUGGGGGGUGACUGCGUACCUUUUGUAUAAUGGGUCAGCGACUUAUAUUCUGUAGCAAGGUUAACCGCAUAGGGGAGCCGAAGGGAAACCGAGUCUUAACCGGGCGUUAAGUUGCAGGGUAUAGACCCGAAACCCGGUGAUCUAGCCAUGGGCAGGUUGAAGGUUGGGUAACACUAACUGGAGGACCGAACCGACUAAUGUUGAAAAAUUAGCGGAUGACCUGUGGCUGGGGGUGAAAGGCCAAUCAAACCGGGAGAUAGCUGGUUCUCCCCGAAAGCUAUUUAGGUAGCGCCUCGUGAA